GGUGGGGCAUAAAAAGAUAUUUAACAAGAGGAUAAAUAUUUUAUUAAUUCACUGUGACGUUUUCAUUGGAUAUAGCUAUGUUAAUUCAUUAGAAUGUUUAAUCAACACCCUCUUUUCACUCAACCUUAGAUAUAGUUCAGUUAUAAAUCAGUAAACAUGUAAAAUGAAGAAAAAUAAUUGAACCCAUGUGAGCACAUAAAAGACAAAUUUGCAAAACCAUAUGUCCUUAUUCAGACUGUUUAGUUUUUCUUUUAAUUUAGCAGACCACACAUGAAAGCCGGUUAAAUUAUGCCAAAAUGGUUAAAGUGAUACAACAGUUCCCUAGCACAGUAUUGGAAGAAAUCAUGUCAAAAUAAAUGGACACCAGAAAAACUGUAGCAAAGAUAAACCUUGAAUUCAGAUAAUGGUUUGUAAAAUAAGAUGGAUGUUUAUAUGAUAUCUUACAAAUGCCAAUCCUUUCACAUUCACAUAAUUUUAUUUAAGUUUGUUAAUCUGAUGGAAUAGACAAUUAAGUUAUCUCUAAUGCAACUAGAUUACUCAGUCCCAAUUGAAACCUUAACUACAAGUAAAAAAUAAAAUAUAACACUUAAUAUGUAAUCAAAAUUGUAUAUCUUUAAUGCAUACUAUUCAUUUCAUUUUAUCAAUUUUUUUAAUAAUCAAUUAAUCAUUAAAAAAUACAAUAUGAGUUAAUAAGCUUUGUAUACAAUUAUCAAUAUAUAAUAACAAAUAACAAAGAAAACAAGAAAUUGAUAUAAAAAUAUAUUAGUUCUAGGUAACAUCCUCAUAGAUAUUCUGUUCUAUAACAUUUAAUGUACAUUGUACUUCCAAUACAUUUUGAUCAGUUUUAUUAGCAUUGCAUUAGGUUAUUAGUUGUUGUGCAAACAGGUUCAUAAUCUGGAAUUCCGUGAGAAAAAACAAAGAAACAGUGUCAUCUUACUACAUGCAUAUACAAAAGUAUGUUUACUGCUUAUUAAGUAGAUAAAUGAAAAUAAGAUAAAAAUUGUCAAUGAAAUAGCAUCCCUACAAAAGAAUAUAAAAUCAAAAAGAGCAUUUGUACUUCAACACAUGCAAUAUGGUAUAUAGUAUAGAGUUUAAUUUUGUUUUGUUUUGUAUUUGCCAUGUUAUGAGACAAGCUCUGUCCCAAAAACCAAUCUAAACAGCUCUUGCAUUUCAUAAACAAAAAAGGUCAAAACAAACAAAUUUACCAUUGCAUCCAUUACAAAAACAUAUUACUGCAUGUGAUCUCAGAUCAGUGUAUCAAUAUAAAACUGCAGAUCGUUAUAUCCUUUAAAUACGUACUAAUAUCAAAAUCACAUUCAUAUAAAUAUAAGGUACUCUAAAUGUAUAUAAAAAGUAGUAUACCAUCCUCUAAAAUAUUUUUAUGAAACUCUAUCACAUCUAUUUUGAUUUUCACCUGCAGCUUUUUUAAAUACCAGUGGACUUUUCGAUUAUUCAAUUUCUAUGUUAUUCUUAGCAUACAUUUUUUUAAUGAGAUUCAACUAAUACAAGCACUUACACUUAUCUGAAAAGUAUUUAUCAUUUCAACUCUUCACUGUCAAGCUGUUCACUAAAUAUGAAGUAAUUUUAUUCAGUAAAACCCAGGGAAAGAUGUGAUUAAUAUAUUUAUUAAACAAACAUUCAUAGAAACAAUAGAAGAAAGGUGAAUACCUAGCCUGCCACCGGCCCAAUCUAGCUGCGCGUCGCAAGGGACAGGUGGGGAACAAAUACCACGUGAUCGAUUCAGUGCCAGUUGACUCUGAAUCUAAAGUGAGGCUGAAUAAAUAUUUGCAUAAAUUUUGAUGUUUGAUGUAAACCAGCAAAAUUGAAAUUCAAUUCACACCUUGGUUAUGUGAAAUCUUAAACUUUUAACUUUCUCACCAGGCGAUUGCUGAUGAAAAUUAACCCUUUUCUGCCUACUAAUUAUCAUCAUACUAAUAAUUAGAUAUGAUAACACUAUACAUCAAUUCAUAAAGAACAAGAAU
Molecule: long non-coding RNA, 1982 nt
Filed under: Mytilus galloprovincialis (Mediterranean mussel)
Lineage: Eukaryota; Metazoa; Mollusca; Bivalvia; Mytilida; Mytilidae
Source: RNAcentral